This 282-nucleotide ribosomal RNA is filed under the name uncultured bacterium. RNAcentral's name for it is "partial 16S ribosomal RNA". It matches the Rfam family "Bacterial small subunit ribosomal RNA", at positions 773 to 1060 of the family's 1533-position model. The record is from RNAcentral.
GUGGAUUAGAUACCCUGGUAGUCCACGCCGUAAACGAUGCUAACUCGUUUUUGGGUUUUCGGAUUCAGAGACUAAGCGAAAGUGAUAAGUUAGCCACCUGGGGAGUACGAACGCAAGUUUGAAACUCAAAGGAAUUGACGGGGGCCCGCACAAGCGGUGGAUUAUGUGGUUUAAUUCGAUGAUACGCGAGGAACCUUACCAAGGCUUAAAUGGGAAUUGAUCGGUUUAGAAAUAGACCUUCCUUCGGGCAAUUUUCAAGGUGCUGCACGGUCGUCGUCAGCU